This 466-nucleotide ribosomal RNA is filed under the name uncultured sponge symbiont PAWS65. RNAcentral describes it as "bacterial SSU rRNA". It matches the Rfam family "Bacterial small subunit ribosomal RNA", at positions 41 to 505 of the family's 1533-position model. The record is from RNAcentral.
GGCGCGCCUAACACAUGCAAGUCGAACGAGAGGCUCUUCGGAGUAGUAAAGUGGCGUACGGGUGAGUAAUACAUGGGUAAUCUGCCUUUGAGCGGGGGAUAACCAGCCGAAAGGCUGGCUAAUACCCCAUACGCUUCCGGUCCUUCGGGUAAGGAAGGAAAGCCGCAUCGUGGAUGUGGCACUCGAAGAUGGGCUCAUGGCCUAUCAGCUUGUUGGUGGGGUAACGGCCUACCAAGGCUACGACGGGUAGCUGGUCUGAGAGGACGAUCAGCCACACUGGCACUGAGAUACGGGCCAGACUCCUACGGGAGGCAGCAGUGAGGAAUAUUGCGCAAUGGGCGAAAGCCUGACGCAGCGACGCCGCGUGGGGGAAGAAGGUUUUCGGAUUGUAAACCCCUUUUAGGAGGAAAGAUGGGGUGGUUUUCCACCCGGACGGUACCUCCAGAAAAAGCCACGGCUAAUUCGU